Molecule: ribosomal RNA, 664 nt
Filed under: uncultured bacterium
Lineage: Bacteria
Description: bacterial SSU rRNA
Rfam family: Bacterial small subunit ribosomal RNA
Source: RNAcentral
CUUUUCGGAGGGCUGCUUUGGGAUGGGCCUGUGGCCAAUUAGCUAGUUGGUGGGGUAAGAGCCUACCAAGGCGACGAUCGGUAGCUGGUCUGAGAGGACGAUCAGCCACACUGGGAUUGAGAACGGCCCAGACUCCUACGGGGGGCAGCAGUGAGGAAUUUUCCGCAAUGGACGAAAGUCUGACGGAGCAACGCCGCGUGCAGGAGGACGCUUUUCGGAGUGUAAACUGCUUUUCUGUGGGAAGAGUUUGGACGGUACCACAGGAAGAAGCCCCGGCUAACUACGUGCCAGCAGCCGCGGUAAUACGUAGGGGGCGAGCGUUGUCCGGAGUUACUGGGCGUAAAGGGCGUGCAGGCGGUCGUACGCGUUUUGUGUGACAGCGGGUGGCUUAACUACCCGAGUAUGCGAAAGACGGUAUGACUUGAGGGCUCGAGAGGGACACGGAAUUCCGGGUGGAGUGGUGAAAUGCGUAGAGAUCCGGAGGAACACCGAAGGCGAAGGCAGUGUCCUGGCGAGUGACUGACGCUGAGGUGCGAAAGCUAGGGGAGCGAACGGGAUUAGAUACCCCGGUAGUCCUAGCCGUAAACGAUGACCACCAGUGUGGGAGGUAUCAACCCCUUCCGUGCCGGAGUAAACACACUAAGUGGUCCGCCUGGGGAGUACG